Molecule: ribosomal RNA, 468 nt
Filed under: uncultured bacterium
Lineage: Bacteria
Description: partial 16S ribosomal RNA
Rfam family: Bacterial small subunit ribosomal RNA
Source: RNAcentral
GACGAACGCUGGCGGCGUGCUUAACACAUGCAAGUCGAACGGAAAGGCCCUGCUUUUGUGGGGUGCUCGAGUGGCGAACGGGUGAGUAACACGUGAGUAACCUGCCCUUGACUUUGGGAUAACUUCAGGAAACUGGGGCUAAUACCGGAUAGGAGCUCCUGCUGCAUGGUGGGGGUUGGAAAGUUUCGGCGGUUGGGGAUGGACUCGCGGCUUAUCAGCUUGUUGGUGGGGUAGUGGCUUACCAAGGCUUUGACGGGUAGCCGGCCUGAGAGGGUGACCGGCCACAUUGGGACUGAGGUACGGCCCAGACUCCUACGGGAGGCAGGAGUGGGGAAUAUUGCACAAUUGGCCGAAGCCUGAUGCAGCAACGCCGCGUGCGGGAUGACGGCCUUCGGGUUGUAAACCGCUUUCGCCUGUGACGAAGCGUGAGUGACGGUAAUGGGUAAAGAAGCACCGGCUAACUACGUG